Lactuca sativa (garden lettuce) is the source of this 1211-nucleotide long non-coding RNA. RefSeq lists it as uncharacterized. The record is from RefSeq and is a predicted model, not a curated record. Lineage: Eukaryota; Viridiplantae; Streptophyta; Magnoliopsida; Asterales; Asteraceae.
UCUCUCUCUCUCUCUCUCUCUCUCUCUCUCUCUCUCGUUCCUAGUACAAUUUUUUCAUUUGAUCUGAAACAAACUUCCACGGGGGUUUUCUAUCUAACAAUCAAGAUUCCACAAGCAAUCACAAAUGUGCAUCUCAUCUCAUAUCACUCCUACUAGCAACACUCUCCCAUCCCAACCUCUUCAAAUUGCAUUCAGAUCCCGAUGAUGACUCCCUCCCCUCCGACUAUUACCGUACUCUGAUUUCUCCUUUAGUGAUUGUGGAUCGAUGACAUCAACCAUAGGAAGGAAUCGGGUAAGAAGCAAGUGACGCCUGAAAAGCCACCAACAAAAUUGACCGGUGAAGAAAAUGGUGGAAAUCGAUAACUUCCACUACAUCCCACCGUACCCUCAUCCCUCUUUCUCUUAUCUAUCCGAGUCAAACGGAUAAGGAAUUAUCAAUUGGGGCAAGACCAGCAAUGUGAGAUUCCAUAAACCAGGACACGGGUAUUUCUUGUAUUUAGGGCAAAAAAUACACCGACUUUACAUGCCCAAAUUUGUUGUCCCUAAAAUCAGCAAGAUGAGAAUCAUUACUCGGAUUCAGUAUAUCGAUUGUUGAUGGUGUAUAUUUGGUGUUUUGUUUUAGUUAAUGGUUUGCUUCUCAUGAAACUCUUGAACGAAGUGGAAGACAUGUGUGAUUAUUCAAGUUCAUCAUAGAAGUUGUUUUCUUCCGUCUUUGUUGCUGAAAAGCUCAUGAGAUUAAGAUAUGAGAGAUGAUAUUCAUCAAAGAAUGUAUUUUGUAGGUUUAGUGUCAAACGAGUUUCAUCUUCUGUGGUUUGGAUGUGUAUUGUUUUCAGGUUUGAUAGCUUGAUUUUAUAUGUGGUUUUGACCAAUGAUUUCAAGUGUUUUAUUUGGUGUAAGUGGUAAUCGAUGGGGUGGUAGUGGUAAUCAAAAGUGAAGGGCAAUGUUGAUGGUGAUUGACGGAGGUGAAGGAUAACAGUGACUAUGGUGGUUGGUGGAUCUCUAACUAGGGGAAAGAGAGAGAGAGAGAGAGAGAGAGAUAGAGAGAGAGAGAAAGUAUGUGUGUGUGCGAGGUUGGCCCAAUGAAUUAUUUAUUUUGUUUUUCUAUUUUUUAAAUAGGAUUAGGUAAAAUUAAUUGUAACAACCAAAAAUACGACCCAAAUUUUUUUGUUUUAAUAAUAAUAAAAUCAUAAACUAAUCGUGAUAUCAUGAAA